Molecule: small RNA, 125 nt
Filed under: Marmota monax (woodchuck)
Lineage: Eukaryota; Metazoa; Chordata; Mammalia; Rodentia; Sciuridae
Source: RNAcentral
GCUGGGUGUGGUGGCGCAUGCCUGUAAUCCCAGCAGCUCAGGAGGCUGAGGCAGGAGAAUCUCAAGUUCAAUGCCAGCCUCAGCAUAAGUGAGGCACUAAGUAACUCAGUGAGACCCUGUCUCUA